GAUUUCGUCGCCGGGCGGAUCACGGGACACCGGAGGAGCCUUCCGCAGCCGAGUUCAGCGGCCUGGUGUCCGCGGUUGCUCACACGAGCAGAGGUCAAAGACCUCCACACCGCAGCGUACUGACC
The submitters of this non-coding RNA (125 nucleotides) gave its source as unclassified sequences. The record is from Rfam.